Molecule: ribosomal RNA, 961 nt
Filed under: uncultured bacterium
Lineage: Bacteria
Description: bacterial SSU rRNA
Rfam family: Bacterial small subunit ribosomal RNA
Source: RNAcentral
CGGCCAAGGCUUCCGUAAAUUAACCCUCCCCUUCAAAUGAGAGCUAGUCUGCUAGCUUGAAUCGAGUACGUUUCGGUCAGGCGCGCGGUCGAUACGUAGGUGGCCAAGCAUCAUCCUGUAGUGACUGGGCGUAAAGAAGUUGCGUAGGUGGUUAGUAAAAAUGAAAUAGUGAAACAUGGUGGGCUCAAUCAUACCAGACUAUUAUUUAAACUCACUAACUCGAGAGUGGUAGAGGUAACUGGAAUUUCUAGUGUAGGAGUGAAAUCCGUAGAUAUUAGAAGGAACACCAAUGGCGUAGGCAGGUUACUGGACCAUCUCUGACACUAAGGCACGAAAGCGUGGGGAGCGAACCGGAUUAGAUACCCGGGUAGUCCACGCCGUAAACGAUGGAUACUAGCUGUUGGAGGUAUCGACCCCUUCAGUAGCGAAGCUAACGCGUUAAGUAUCCCGCCUGUGGAGUACGGUCGCAAGACUAAAACAUAAAGGAAUUGACGGGGAUCAGCACAAGCGGUGGAUUAUGUUCUUUAAUUCGAUGAUAACCGAUGAACCUUACCAGGGUUUGACAUCCAGGAAAGCACUACGAAAGUAGAGUGUGCCUUUUGGAAUCCUGUGACAGGUGUUGCAUGGCCGUCGUCAGCUCGUGUCGUGAGAUGUUUGGUUAAGUCCAUCAACGAGCGCAACCCUUGUGAAUAGUUGUAUUUUCCUAUUCAGACUGCUCUAGUAAUAGGGAGGAAGGAGGGGAUGAUGUCAGGUCAGUAUUACCCUUACACCCUGGGCUAGAAACAUAAUACAAUGGCCGGUACAAUGCGCAGCGAAGCAGCAAUGUGGAGCAAAUCGCAUCAAAGCCGGUCCCAGUUCGGAUAAGAGGGUGAAACUCGCCUCUUUGAAGCCGGAAUCGCUAGUAAUCGCAAAUCAGCAAGUUGCGGUGAAUACGUCACUGAUCUUGUACUCACCGCCCGUC